RNAcentral lists this long non-coding RNA (394 nucleotides) under Mytilus galloprovincialis (Mediterranean mussel). Lineage: Eukaryota; Metazoa; Mollusca; Bivalvia; Mytilida; Mytilidae. The record is from RNAcentral.
AAAAAAAAAAAAAACUGAUAAAAAAAAAAAAAAAAUAAAAAAAAAAAAAAAAAAAAGAAAAAAAAACCAAAAAAAAAAAAAAAAAAAAAAAAAAAAAAAAAAAAAAAAAAAAAAAAAAAAAAAAAAACAAAAAAAAAAAAAAUAAAAAAAAAAAAAAAAAAAAAAAAAAAAAAAAAAAAAAAAAAAAAAAAAAAAAAAAAAAAAAAAAAAAAAAAAUAAACAAAAAAAAAAAACAAAAAAAAAAAAAAAAAAUAAAAAAAAAGAAAAAAAAAGUCUCAGGCCCGAAAAAAAAAAAAAAAAAACAAAAAAAAAAAAAAAAAAAAAAAAAAAAAAAAAAAAAAAAAAAAAAAAAAAAAAAAAAAAAAAAAAAAAAAAAAUAAAAUAAACGGGAAAU